CCUACGGGGGGCAGCAGUGAGGAAUAUUGGUCAAUGGGCUUACGCCUGAACCAGCCAAGUCGCGUGAGGGAAGACUGCCCUAUGGGUUGUAAACCUCUUUUGUCAGGGAGCAACGCCGGCUACGUGUAGCCGGACAGAGAGUACCUGAAGAAAAAGCAUCGGCUAACUCCGUGCCAGCAGCCGCGGUAAUACGGAGGAUGCGAGCGUUAUCCGGAUUUAUUGGGUUUAAAGGGUGCGUAGGCGGAAUGCCAAGUCAGCGGUAAAAUCGCGGGGCUCAACCUCGCUCCGCCGUUGAAACUGGCGUUCUUGAGUGGGCGAGAAGUAUGCGGAACGCGUGGUGUAGCGGUGAAAUGCAUAGAUAUCACGCAGAACCCCGAUUGCGAAGGCAGCAUGCCGGCUUCCGACUGACGCUGAAGCACGAAAGCGUGGGGAUCGAACAGGAUUAGAUACCCCAGUAGUC
This 460-nucleotide ribosomal RNA is filed under the name uncultured bacterium. RNAcentral's name for it is "partial 16S ribosomal RNA". It matches the Rfam family "Bacterial small subunit ribosomal RNA", at positions 338 to 795 of the family's 1533-position model. The record is from RNAcentral.